Molecule: ribosomal RNA, 180 nt
Filed under: uncultured bacterium
Lineage: Bacteria
Description: partial 16S ribosomal RNA
Rfam family: Bacterial small subunit ribosomal RNA
Source: RNAcentral
CCUACGGGAGGCAGCAGUGAGGAAUAUUGGUCAAUGGACGAGAGUCUGAACCAGCCAAGUAGCGUGCAGGAUGACGGCCCUAUGGGUUGUAAACUGCUUUUUAUAAGGGAAUAAAGUGAGUCUCGUGAGACUUUUUGCAUGUACCUUAUGAAUAAGGACCGGCUAAUUCCGUGCCAGCAG